UACGAAGGGGGCUAGCGUUGCUCGGAUUGACUGGGCGUAAAGGGCGCGUAGGCGGUUCGUACAGUCAGACGUGAAAUUCCUGGGCUCAACCUGGGGGCUGCGUUUGAUACGUGCGGGCUUGAGUGCGGAAGAGGGUCGUGGAAUUCCCAGUGUAGAGGUGAAAUUCGUAGAUAUUGGGAAGAACACCGGUGGCGAAGGCGACUUCCUGGCCUGUUCUUGACGCUGAGGCGCGAAAGCUAGGGGAGCAAACGGG
RNAcentral lists this ribosomal RNA (253 nucleotides) under uncultured bacterium. RNAcentral describes it as "partial 16S ribosomal RNA". It matches the Rfam family "Bacterial small subunit ribosomal RNA", at positions 524 to 776 of the family's 1533-position model. The record is from RNAcentral.